RNAcentral lists this long non-coding RNA (273 nucleotides) under Eucalyptus grandis. RNAcentral describes it as "long non-coding RNA (EGRA_LNC000353)". The record is from RNAcentral. Lineage: Eukaryota; Viridiplantae; Streptophyta; Magnoliopsida; Myrtales; Myrtaceae.
UCGCUUCCAUGUUUUGCAAAUAGUUGAGUCGUAUAAACUACAUCUUCAAUCGUUAAACUUGGGUUGUGUCUCUAUGCUUGGAAUAUUAGGGAGUUUCGCGCCUUCCAAAUCCGCCAAACAAGUUUUGCAAAAUCCGCUUUGGACUGUGGAGUCAUUCUCAUGUUGUAGUUCUCCCAUACCCAUUUGUCCAUUCGAUUGCAAAUCCCUUGGGAUAAAUCGGCUCUGAUCCUCUGGUCUGACUAGAUUUCUUUUGUCUAGGGCACAUGAUGAAGA